This 254-nucleotide ribosomal RNA is filed under the name uncultured bacterium. RNAcentral describes it as "partial 16S ribosomal RNA". It matches the Rfam family "Bacterial small subunit ribosomal RNA", at positions 524 to 776 of the family's 1533-position model. The record is from RNAcentral.
UACGUAGGGGGCAAGCGUUGUCCGGAUUUAUUGGGCGUAAAGAGCUCGUAGGCGGUCUGUCGCGUCGGUCGUGAAAACUUGGGGCUUAACCCUGAGCUUGCGGUCGAUACGGGCAUGACUGGAGUUCGGCAGGGGAGACUGGAAUUCCUGGUGUAGCGGUGAGAUGCGCAGAUAUCAGGAGGAACACCGGUGGCGAAGGCGGGUCUCUGGGCCGAUACUGACGCUGAGGAGCGAAAGCGUGGGGAGCAAACAGG